RNAcentral lists this long non-coding RNA (654 nucleotides) under Arabidopsis lyrata. RNAcentral's name for it is "long non-coding RNA (ALYR_LNC001114)". The record is from RNAcentral. Lineage: Eukaryota; Viridiplantae; Streptophyta; Magnoliopsida; Brassicales; Brassicaceae.
CAAACCACUAUCACAAAACUCAUGAAACCGUACUAGACUGUACUUCGCCAUAACCAUAGCAACAAAAUUAAGUCCCGAGAUCUAAAAGAACUUUCAGAGUCAGAUAACUUAACUUUUUAACAUUCAUUAGCAGCGGCGUGUACUCUCACAAAGGGGGUAUCAAACACGUUAUGGGCUUGGUAAAAAAAAGGCUAAUAUUCGGUGGCUCAAGUGUUUCUGGUUCUCAAACAGUGUAAAACGGAUGCAUGUCAUUAUGCGAAAUCACAGUGAGACACAGACCAACUAGGAGGUACAUAGCUUCCCUUAAGCUCAGAUCAAAUCAACCAACACACUACCCCAAUCAAAUCAAUGCGUACCCUUGAUGCUUAUCAACGUAACUAAUAUCAACUCGACAUUUCCGGUUCCAUUCAUUCUCCUUUCCCGUUAUUCUUUUCAUUUCCGUUUUUUUCUUUCUUUCUUUUUUUUUUUUUUUUUUUUUUUUUUUUUUUUUUUUUUUACGGGGGAGUGGAACCGGUGUCUCACAUAAUCUGCAUCAAGAAAAACCGCAAGCGAUAACAACAUAUCCCAUGAAUACAACCUCUAAACCAUAGUGGAUCAAUCUCAUCAUAUAUCAGCAACCAGUAAACUACAACUCACUAUCCUAACAGAAGGAAA